UACGGAGGAUGCAAGCGUUAUCCGGAAUGAUUAGGCGUAAAGCGUCCGCAGGUGGCUGUGUAAGUCUGCUGUUAAAGAGUCUAGCUCAACUAGAUAAAAGCAGUGGAAACUACACGGCUAGAGUACGUUCGGGGCAGAGGGAAUUCCUGGUGUAGCGGUGAAAUGCGUAGAGAUCAGGAAGAACACCAGUGGCGAAGGCGCUCUGCUAGGCCGUAACUGACACUGAGGGACGAAAGCUAGGGGAGCGAAUGGG
RNAcentral lists this ribosomal RNA (253 nucleotides) under uncultured bacterium. RNAcentral describes it as "partial 16S ribosomal RNA". It matches the Rfam family "Bacterial small subunit ribosomal RNA", at positions 524 to 776 of the family's 1533-position model. The record is from RNAcentral.